UGGCGAACGGGUGAGUAACACGUGGGCAAUCUGCCCUGCACUCUGGGACAAGCCCUGGAAACGGGGUCUAAUACCGGAUGAUACUUCUGCCUGCAUGGGUGGGGGUUGAAAGCUCCGGCGGUGCAGGAUGAGCCCGCGGCCUAUCAGCUUGUUGGUGAGGUAGUGGCUCACCAAGGCGACGACGGGUAGCCGGCCUGAGAGGGCGACCGGCCACACUGGGACUGAGACACGGCCCAGACUCCUACGGGAGGCAGCAGUGGGGAAUAUUGCACAAUGGGCGGAAGCCUGAUGCAGCGACGCCGCGUGAGGGAUGACGGCCUUCGGGUUGUAAACCUCUUUCAGCAGGGAAGAAGCGCAAGUGACGGUACCUGCAGAAGAAGCGCCGGCUAACUACGUGCCAGCAGCCGCGGUAAUACGUAGGGCGCAAGCGUUGUCCGGAAUUAUUGGGCGUAAAGAGCUCGUAGGCGGUCUGUCGCGUCGGAUGUGAAAGCCCGGGGCUUAACCCCGGGUCUGCAUUCGAUACGGGCAGACUAGAGUGUGGUAGGGGAGAUCGGAAUUCCUGGUGUAGCGGUGAAAUGCGCAGAUAUCAGGAGGAACACCGGUGGCGAAGGCGGAUCUCUGGGCCAUUACUGACGCUGAGG
Molecule: ribosomal RNA, 641 nt
Filed under: Streptomyces sp. I13A-01664
Lineage: Bacteria; Bacillati; Actinomycetota; Actinomycetes; Kitasatosporales; Streptomycetaceae
Description: bacterial SSU rRNA
Rfam family: Bacterial small subunit ribosomal RNA
Source: RNAcentral